This 497-nucleotide ribosomal RNA is filed under the name uncultured bacterium. RNAcentral's name for it is "partial 16S ribosomal RNA". It matches the Rfam family "Bacterial small subunit ribosomal RNA", at positions 28 to 507 of the family's 1533-position model. The record is from RNAcentral.
GAUGAACGCUGGCGGCGUGCCUAAUACAUGCAAGUCGAGCGAACAGACGAGGAGCUUGCGGCGCGGACGUGAGGGGCGGACGGGUGAGAAACACGUGGAUAACGCACCUAUAAGAGUGGGAAAACUUCGGGAAACCGGAGCAAACACGGGAGAAGAUAUUGAACCGCAGGGGGCGAUAGUGAAAGACGGUGGUGCGGGCACGAAUAGAGGGAUCCGCGCCGGAUUGGCUAGUUGGGAAGGUAACGGCUUACGAAGGCAACUAUGCGUAGCCGAGCGGAGGGGGUGAUCGGCCACCCUGGAGCUUGGCCACCGUCCAUGCUCCUACGGGAGGCCGCAGUCGGCAAUCUUCCGCAGUGGGCGAAAACCUGACGGAGCAACGCCGCGUGAGUGAUGACGGUCUUCGGAUCGUAAUGCUCUGUUAUUGGUUAAGAACCAAUGUGUCCUUAACUAUGCACGUCUUGACGGUACCUAGUCAGAAAGCCCCGGCUAACUACGUG